RNAcentral lists this transfer RNA (69 nucleotides) under Anadara cornea. RNAcentral's name for it is "tRNA-His". Lineage: Eukaryota; Metazoa; Mollusca; Bivalvia; Arcoida; Arcidae. The record is from RNAcentral.
CUACAGAGAAGUAUAGAUUUUGUAUGUCGGUAUGUGGCUCCGAAGGGGUUAUUGUUUUAACCUCUGUUU